GUAACUUUAAAAGACGUAAUGACUUCUAGAGAUGCUGCUUUUUGGAAAGAAGUUGUAGAUGAUGAGAUGAACUCAUUGUUAUCCAACCAAACUUGGACUUUGGUUGACUUACCACAUGGGUCUAAACCAAUUGGUUGUAAGUGGGUGUUUAGAAGGAAAUAUAAUACUGAUAGUUUUCUACAAACCUUCAAAGCUCGAUUGGUAGCCAAAGGUUUUAAAUAGAAAAAGGAAGUUGAUUACUUUGACACCUAUGCACCAGUUGCAAGAAUCACCUCCAUUAGAGUGUUGUUUGCUUUGGCAUUCGUAUAUAACCUAUAUGUACAUCAAAUGGACGUGAAAACAACCUUUUUAAAUGGGGAUUUGGAUGAAGAGGUAUAUAUGGAGCAACCGAAAGGAUUUGUUCUUCCUGGUAAUGAAAAGAAGGUUUGUAAAUUAGUGAAAUCACUAUAUGGUCUCAAACAAGUGCCAAAACAAUGGCAUGAAAAAUUUGACUUUGUCAUUUUGUAAAUGAUUUUAGACAUAAUAAUGUCGAUAAGUGUAUUUAUUCUAAAUUCACUGAUGAAUAUGGUGUUUUCAUAUGCUUAUAUGUAGAUUAUUUACAAAUAUUUGGGAUUAACAUGAAAGCUAUAUCCGAAACUAAGAAGUAUCUAAAGUCAAAUUUCAAAAUGAAAGAUUUGAAUGAAGUUAAUACUAUCUUAGGGAUAAAAGUAAGGAGACAUGAUGGGGGUUUUGCAUUGUUCUAGUCACACUAUGUUGAAAAAAUAUUGCAGAAGUAUAAGCAUUUGCAAAUAAAAGAAGCACCAACCUCUUAUGACUCUAAGAUCAACAUGCUAGUAAAUUAUGGCAGAUUAGUUGCACAACUUGAGUAUGCUAGUGUAAUUGGAGGAUUGAUGUAUGCUUCGCAUAGCACAAGGCCAUAUAUAACAUUUGUUGUUUGUAAGCUUUCAAGAUACACUAGCAACCCUAGCACCUUACAUUGGAAAUCAAUUUGUAAAGUUUUUGGUUAUUUUAAAAAGACUACCAAUUGGGGUCAUUUUAUUCAAGAUUUCUAGUGGUACUAGAAGGGUACUUAGAUGCUAGUUGGAUUACUAGCGCAAGCAAUAAUAAAUCCACAACAUGAUGGAUAUUCAUUAUUGGGGGAGGUGAUGUUUCUUGGAUAUCAAAGAAACAAACUGUUAUAUCACACUCCAUUAUGGAAUCUGAGUUUAUAGCAUUAGCAGCUGCAUGCAAAGAAGCAGAAUGGUUGAGAGAUUUAUUGUUUGACAUAGAGUUGUGGCCACAACCAAUGCCAUCUAUUUUUUUGUAUUGCGAUAGUGAAGCUACAUUGUCUAGAGCUUAUAGCAAAGUAUAUAAUGGCAAAUCUAGACGUAUUAGCUUUAGACAUGAAUUUGUCAAACAUUUAAUAACACAAGGAGUUGUUAACAUAACUUAUGUAAGGUCAAAUAAAAAUUUGGUAGAUCCUUUUACUAAGGGAUUCUAGAGAGAUAUGGUACAAAGUACAUCUAGUGGAAUGAGGCUGAAACCCUUUACUAUAAAUCACCCAACUUUGCCUAGAACAUCACUAGACCAAAGUUCAAUGGGUAAUAACAAGUUAUUGAUAAGUGGUUUGAAUAAGCACUGAAUAAUUUAUAUAGCCUAUUCCAGAAUGUCAGUGCAUACUGCUAUGAUAUAAAGGAUGAAAUUUAAAUUCUUAAUGAGGUAUAAUAAUAUAAGAUGCUCGAAUAGCAGGAACAUAUACAAGUAACCUCACCUAUAUAAAUAUAAGGAGUGGUGCUCACCUAUAUAAAUAUAAGGAGUGGUGCUGCUUCUACCAAGAGUUUUUUGGGUUUUCUCUUGUAAAUAUUUAUGAAACUAGGAUGUAGCACAGGGCCAUAAUAAUGCUAACUAGAUACAAAAUUUCUCCAAGGAAGCUAUAAUAUGAUCAUGUGUGUAGCAUUUUCCGGUUUUGACUUAUAAAUACGUAGUUUAAGGUAUGGAAAGGCCACUAUUGUAUUUGUAAGAACCUUGAGAUACUUACACUAAUUGAAGGUUAAAAUCGAAAGAUACCCAUUUGUAUGCAUGAACUUAUGUGUAUGAUUAAAGUUAAUGAUAGAAAAAAUUGAUUCAUUAUAAUAUUUCUAGUUUUAUA
RNAcentral lists this long non-coding RNA (2128 nucleotides) under Malus domestica (apple). RNAcentral's name for it is "long non-coding RNA (MDOM_LNC000449)". The record is from RNAcentral. Lineage: Eukaryota; Viridiplantae; Streptophyta; Magnoliopsida; Rosales; Rosaceae.